UACAGAGGGGGCAAGCGUUAUUCGGAAUUAUUGGGCGUAAAGGGCGCGUAGGCGGCCAUUCAAGUGACGGGUGAAAGCCCUCGGCUUAACUGAGGAACUGCCUGUCAGACUGGAUGGCUUGAGACCGGGAGAGGUGAGUGGAAUUCCCAGUGUAGCGGUGAAAUGCGUAGAUAUUGGGAGGAACACCAGUGGCGAAGGCGGCUCACUGGACCGGAACUGACGCUGAGGCGCGAAAGCGUGGGGAGCAAACAGG
RNAcentral lists this ribosomal RNA (253 nucleotides) under uncultured bacterium. Its description in RNAcentral is "partial 16S ribosomal RNA". It matches the Rfam family "Bacterial small subunit ribosomal RNA", at positions 524 to 776 of the family's 1533-position model. The record is from RNAcentral.